GAUGAACGCUGACAGAAUGCUUAACACAUGCAAGUCUUUGGCGAAGCUGUGCUUGCACAGCCUAGCCAAGGCGGACGGGUGAGUAACGCGUAAGGAACUUGCCCUGCAGUCAGGGAUAACAGACGGAAACGACUGAUAAGACCUGGUAAAGUCAGGCGGACUCAUGUCCAGCCUGAUGAAAAGAGAUGCUGCAGGAGGGCCUUGCGUCCUAUUAGCUUGUUGGUGGGGUAACGGCCCACCAAGGCGAUGAUAGGUAGCCGGCCUGAGAGGGUGGACGGCCACAAGGGGACUGAGAUACGGCCCUUACUCCUACGGGAGGCAGCAGUGGGGAAUAUUGGACAAUGGGGGCAACCCUGAUCCAGCAAUUCUGUGUGCACGAUGAAGGUUUUCGGAUUGUAAAGUGCUUUCAGCAGGGAAGAAAAAAAUGACGGUACCUGCAGAAGAAGCGACGGCUAAAUACGUG
Molecule: ribosomal RNA, 463 nt
Filed under: uncultured bacterium
Lineage: Bacteria
Description: partial 16S ribosomal RNA
Rfam family: Bacterial small subunit ribosomal RNA
Source: RNAcentral